GUCCCUGUAGCUCAGAAGGAAGAGCACGGUCCUCCUAAGUCCGGGGUCGCGGGUUCGAAUCCCGCCAGGGACACCA
RNAcentral lists this transfer RNA (76 nucleotides) under Pseudomonadota bacterium. RNAcentral's name for it is "tRNA-Arg". It matches the Rfam family "tRNA". From Rfam's summary of the family: Transfer RNA (tRNA) molecules are approximately 80 nucleotides in length. Their secondary structure includes four short double-helical elements and three loops (D, anti-codon, and T loops). RNAcentral also lists the same sequence under 3 other names. Lineage: Bacteria; Pseudomonadati; Pseudomonadota. The record is from RNAcentral.